RNAcentral lists this long non-coding RNA (282 nucleotides) under Ananas comosus (pineapple). Its description in RNAcentral is "long non-coding RNA (ACOM_LNC017276)". Lineage: Eukaryota; Viridiplantae; Streptophyta; Magnoliopsida; Poales; Bromeliaceae. The record is from RNAcentral.
AUGACCACUCUUACUUUUUUAUUUCUUUUUUCUUUUUUUCUUUUCUUUUUUUCAAGCCUGCCCUUCUUCGAAACCCCUACACCACACAUACCCAUACACAAAAGAGAGAAUUUUUUUUUUUUUGAAAAAUAUGUAGCAUUCUAUCCGUUUCAUUUAUUUUAUUUAAAAAUAGACUUAACUAGAAAUAUGAAUCAACUAGGAUUCGAACUUGGAACCUCGGGUACCAACUAGCGCAAGUCUUUUGCCACUUGCUCUAGGGGCGGUUCGAAGAGAGAAAAUUCA